UACGGAGGAUGCAAGCGUUAUCCGGAAUGAUUGGGCGUAAAGCGUCCGCAGGUGGCAGUGCAAGUCUGCUGUCAAAGGUCAGGGCUCAACCCUGAACAGGCAGUGGAAACUACACAGCUAGAGUGCGGUGGGGGCAGAGGGAAUUCCCAGUGUAGCGGUGAAAUGCGUAGAGAUUGGGAAGAACACCGGUGGCGAAAGCGCUCUGCUAGGCCGUAACUGACACUCAUGGACGAAAGCUAGGGGAGCGAAUGGG
RNAcentral lists this ribosomal RNA (253 nucleotides) under uncultured bacterium. RNAcentral's name for it is "partial 16S ribosomal RNA". It matches the Rfam family "Bacterial small subunit ribosomal RNA", at positions 524 to 776 of the family's 1533-position model. The record is from RNAcentral.